CUAGCGGCGGCUUAAUACAUGCAAGUCGAGGGGCAGCAGGUCUGUAGCAAUACAGAUGCUGGCGACCGGCAAACGGGUGCGGAACACGUACAGAACCUUCCUUCGAGCGGGGAAUAGCCCAGAGAAAUUUGGAUUAAUACCCCAUAGUAUACUGAAGAGGCAUCUCUUUGGUAUUAAAGAUUUAUCACUUGAAGAUGGCUGUGCGGCUGAUUAGGUAGUUGGCGGGGUAAAGGCCCACCAAGCCUGCGAUCAGUAACUGGUGUGAGAGCACGACCAGUCACACGGGCACUGAGACACGGGCCCGACUCCUACGGGAGGCAGCAGUAAGGAAUAUUGGCCAAUGGACGAAAGUCUGAACCAGCCAUGCCGCGUGAAGGAUGAAGGUCCUCUGGAUUGUAAACUUCUUUUAUAUGGGACGAAAAAAGGGUUUUCUAACUCAACUGACGGUACCAUAUGAAUAAGCACCGGCUAACUCCCUGCCAGCAGCCGCGGUAAUACGGAGGGUGCAAGCGUUAUCCGGAUUCACUGGGUUUAAAGGGUGCGUAGGUGGGUUGGUAAGUCAGUGGUGAAUCCCCGAGCUUAACUCGGGAACUGCCAUUGAUACUAUCAGUCUUGAAUACCGUGGAGGUCAGCAGAAUAUGUCAUGUAGCGGUGAAAUGCUUAGAUAUGA
RNAcentral lists this ribosomal RNA (670 nucleotides) under uncultured Bacteroidota bacterium. RNAcentral describes it as "bacterial SSU rRNA". It matches the Rfam family "Bacterial small subunit ribosomal RNA", at positions 36 to 699 of the family's 1533-position model. The record is from RNAcentral. Lineage: Bacteria; Pseudomonadati; Bacteroidota.